This 315-nucleotide ribosomal RNA is filed under the name Triticum aestivum (bread wheat). RNAcentral describes it as "partial small subunit ribosomal RNA". The record is from RNAcentral. Lineage: Eukaryota; Viridiplantae; Streptophyta; Magnoliopsida; Poales; Poaceae.
AUGGAAGGAAAAAAAAGCGAUAGACAUAUAUCAGAUCCCCAAUUCCCUCUCCUUGCACAUGGCGGCGCCGCCGCUGCAAUCAGCAGAUUAAUCUCGACCAGCUAUCUUCUCCUACCCUGCGAGCUGGCUGACGACACCAACGGAAAUACUAAGGCCAGUGCCGAAGCGUACGCGCCAUGCCGACGACCGUCUGAGCGCGCUGCCGGACGAACUCCUGCACGCCAUCCUGUCGCGCCUCAAGGCCCUGCAGAUGGUGCAGGCGUGCGUCCUGUCCACGAGGUGGAGGAACCUCUGGCGCGCCGUGCCGUGCCUUGA